RNAcentral lists this long non-coding RNA (1139 nucleotides) under Ananas comosus (pineapple). RNAcentral's name for it is "long non-coding RNA (ACOM_LNC034651)". The record is from RNAcentral. Lineage: Eukaryota; Viridiplantae; Streptophyta; Magnoliopsida; Poales; Bromeliaceae.
CUUUAUAAAUGGGCUCCUAGCAUGAAUUAAUUUUAUGAGUCAGUUUCAUGAACAUCUCGAUUUUAAACGACCAAAACGUCGUUAAACUAAACCCAACGAUCGAAACGUCGUUAAACUAAACCCAACGACCGAAACGUCGGUAAACUAAACCCAACGACCGAAACGUCGGUAAACUAAACCCAACGACCGAAACGUCGUUAAACUAAACCCAACGACCGAAACGUCGGUAAACUAAACCCAACGACCGAAACGUCGUUAAACUAAACCCAACGACCGAAACGUGGUUAAACUAAACCCAAAUCCAAACGACCGAAAUGUCGCUAAACUAAACCCAUAUUCAGACGACCGAAACGUCGCUAAACUAAACCCAAAUUCGAACGACCGAAACGUCGUUAAGCUAAACCCAAAUUCAAACGACCGAAAAGUCGUUAAACUAAACCUAAAACUUCAAUCGACUACCAAGUUGCUAAAUUGAAUAUCCAGUCUUAUAAAAUUUAUGUACAGUUGGGGAAUGCCCUUGCUUAAGCCAUGUACACGGCAAAUCAUAUUAAUAAAAUUUUAUUUGCCUGUUUGGUCUCCUUUAUUAUCAGCAUUUAUAUUUGGUCUCUUAAUCGAGGGUUCCUUAACACCGAAAGUGUGGGGUAAUUAACAGCAGAUUCUUGAGUCUAUUGGAAGCCAUGAAUCUAUAAUCCUGAUUUCAAAAUAAAAUUCAAACAAAUUUUAUCUCUACCAUGAAUGACCACUCGCCCUAGAAACAACCAACGGCGGGGCCGGUUCGUUCGCGACAGACAGUCCCUAUGUUGCAGUUUCAUAGUUUACUAGUUCAAGUGCCCCUUCAUGGCACUUUGGUCCAACAAGUUCAAGCAUGAUUUUUGGUGUUCAUGAAUACAUAAUUUAAGUCAUUUUGAACAUAGAAGACAUGUUUUCCAAUUGUUAACAUGAAUACUUCUCACAUGCAUGCAAAACCCUCAGAAUGCUCUACUAUAUAGAGUGAAAUUUUCAUAAUACAUAUGGCAUGCAUUUUAAGUAUUCUAAAAUUCAUAGAAAUUCUAUCUAGCAUGAAUAUGCAUGAAUUUUAACGUUACGACGAGUAUAACACCCAUAGGGGGCAUUUUGCCCCGGUUUCAUAAAAUCAAACC